This 492-nucleotide ribosomal RNA is filed under the name uncultured bacterium. RNAcentral's name for it is "partial 16S ribosomal RNA". It matches the Rfam family "Bacterial small subunit ribosomal RNA", at positions 29 to 507 of the family's 1533-position model. The record is from RNAcentral.
AGUGAACGCUGGCGGUAGGCCUAACACAUGCAAGUCGAACGGCAGCACAGUAAGAGCUUGCUCUUACGGGUGGCGAGUGGCGGACGAGUGAGGAAUACAUCGGCAUCUACUUUUUCGUGGGUGAUAACGUGGGGAAACUUACGCUAAUACCGCAUACGACCUACGGGUGAAAGCAGGGGAUCUUCGGACCUUGCGCGAUUGAAUGAGCCGAUGUCGGAUUAGCUAGUUGGCGGGGUAAAGGCCCACCAAGGCGACGAUCCGUAGCUGGUCUGAGAGGAUGAUCAGCCACACUGGAACUGAGACACGGUCCAGACUCCUACGGGAGGCAGCAGUGGGGAAUAUUGGACAAUGGGCGCAAGCCUGAUCCAGCCAUACCGCGUGGGUGAAGAAGGCCUUCGGGUUGUAAAGCCCUUUUGUUGGGAAAGAAAAGCAGCAGGUUAAUACCCCGCUGUUCUGACGGUACCCAAAGAAUAAGCACCGGCUAACUUCGUG